GUCCCCUUCGUCUAGUGGCCUAGGACGUCGCCCUCUCACGGCGAAAACAGGGGUUCGACUCCCCUAGGGGACGCCA
RNAcentral lists this transfer RNA (76 nucleotides) under Alphaproteobacteria bacterium. Its description in RNAcentral is "tRNA-Glu". It matches the Rfam family "tRNA". From Rfam's summary of the family: Transfer RNA (tRNA) molecules are approximately 80 nucleotides in length. Their secondary structure includes four short double-helical elements and three loops (D, anti-codon, and T loops). RNAcentral also lists the same sequence under 5 other names. Lineage: Bacteria; Pseudomonadati; Pseudomonadota; Alphaproteobacteria. The record is from RNAcentral.